This 273-nucleotide ribosomal RNA is filed under the name uncultured bacterium. RNAcentral describes it as "partial 16S ribosomal RNA". It matches the Rfam family "Bacterial small subunit ribosomal RNA", at positions 334 to 599 of the family's 1533-position model. The record is from RNAcentral.
CUUGCCUACGGGGGGCAGCAGUGAGGAAUAUUGGUCAAUGGGCGCAAGCCUGAACGAGCAAUGCCGCGUGAACGAGGAAGGUCUUCGGAUCGUAAAGUUCUGUUGAAGGGGAAAAAGAGCGGAGAGAGGAAAUGGUCUCCGAUUGAUAUUACCCUUCGAGGAAGUCACGGCUAACUACGUGCCAGCAGCCGCGGUAAUACGUAGGUGGCGAGCGUUAUCCGGAAUGAUUGGGCGUAAAGGGUGCGUAGGCGGCCUGCUAAGUCUGGAGUGAAA